Molecule: non-coding RNA, 24 nt
Filed under: Arabidopsis thaliana (thale cress)
Lineage: Eukaryota; Viridiplantae; Streptophyta; Magnoliopsida; Brassicales; Brassicaceae
Source: RNAcentral
AGAAUUAGAGGAUGAGGUGAUGGA